RNAcentral lists this small RNA (638 nucleotides) under Pongo abelii (Sumatran orangutan). RNAcentral's name for it is "processed transcript". Lineage: Eukaryota; Metazoa; Chordata; Mammalia; Primates; Hominidae. The record is from RNAcentral.
AGCUGAAAAAUAUUAUUAGAAAAUAUUAGCCAGGUGUGCUUUGUUUAAAUGUGAAAUAAAAAGUAUUUAGAUAAUGGAAAUGGAAGGAUAUGAUUAUAAAUGGAAAGAUCUGUAAGCAGCGAGGUCUACUUGAAGUGCUUUAUGAUAUCUUUCGUCUUCCUCUACCUGUUGUGACUGAGGAGUUCAUAGAAGCACUACUCAGUGUAGAUCCAGGGAGGUUCCAAGACAGUUGGAGGCUUUCAGAUGGCUUUGUGGCAGCUGAGGCAAAAACUAUUCUUCCUCAUCGUGCCAGAUCCAGGCCAGACCUCAUGGAUAAUUAUUUGGCACUGAUACUCUCUGCAUUUAUUCGUAAUGGACUUUUAGAGGGCCUAGUUGAAGUGAUAACAAACAGUGAUGAUCAUAUCUCAGUUAGAGCUACCAUCCUUUUAGGAGAGCUUUUACAUAUGGCAAACACAAUUCUUCCUCAUUCACAUAGCCAUCAUUUGCACUGCUUGCCAACCCUAAUGAAUAUGGCUGCAUCCUUUGAUAUCCCCAAGGAAAAGAGACUGCGAGCCAGUGCAGCCUUGAACUGUUUAAAACGCUUCCAUGAAAUGAAGAAACGAGGACCUAAGCCUUAUAGUCUUCAUUUAGACCACAUU